AACCGAAUAGGGGAGCCGAAGGGAAACCGAGUCUUAACCGGGCGUUAAGUUGCAGGGUAUAGACCCGAAACCCGGUGAUCUAGCCAUGGGCAGGUUGAAGGUUGGGUAACACUAACUGGAGGACCGAACCGACUAAUGUUGAAAAAUUAGCGGAUGACUUGUGGCUGGGGGUGAAAGGCCAAUCAAACCGGGAGAUAGCUGGUUCUCCCCGAAAGCUAUUUAGGUAGCGCCUCGUGAAUUCAUCUCCGGGGGUAGAGCACUGUUUCGGCAAGGGGGUCAUCCCGACUUACCAACCCGAUGCAAACUGCGAAUACCGGAGAAUGUUAUCACGGGAGACACACGGCGGGUGCUAACGUCCGUCGUGAAGAGGGAAACAACCCAGACCGCCAGCUAAGGUCCCAAAGUCAUGGUUAAGUGGGAAACGAUGUGGGAAGGCCCAGACAGCCAGGAUGUUGGCUUAGAAGCAGCCAUCAUUUAAAGAAAGCGUAAUAGCUCACUGGUCGAGUCGGCCUGCGCGGAAGAUGUAACGGGGCUAAACCAUGCACCGAAGCUGCGGCAGCGACACUGUGUGUUGUUGGGUAGGGGAGCGU
This 590-nucleotide ribosomal RNA is filed under the name Escherichia coli. RNAcentral describes it as "partial 23S ribosomal RNA". It matches the Rfam family "Bacterial large subunit ribosomal RNA", at positions 648 to 1239 of the family's 2925-position model. Lineage: Bacteria; Pseudomonadati; Pseudomonadota; Gammaproteobacteria; Enterobacterales; Enterobacteriaceae. RNAcentral also lists the same sequence under 1 other name. The record is from RNAcentral.